RNAcentral lists this transfer RNA (451 nucleotides) under uncultured Pseudoalteromonas sp. RNAcentral describes it as "partial 16S-23S ribosomal RNA intergenic spacer". The stretch from base 85 to 158 matches the Rfam family "tRNA". Lineage: Bacteria; Pseudomonadati; Pseudomonadota; Gammaproteobacteria; Alteromonadales; Pseudoalteromonadaceae. The record is from RNAcentral.
CCUCCUUAUACGAUUUAGAACUUAUUUGUUCGUAGUGUCCACACAGAUGAUUGUUAAUUGUAAAGAGAACAACACUUAUUGUUUGGGUCUGUAGCUCAGUUGGUUAGAGCGCACCCCUGAUAAGGGUGAGGUCGGUGGUUCAAAUCCACCCAGACCCACCACUUCUUCUUAAUCUUAUCAAUAAGAUUAAAACGAAGUCGGAUAACAAACAAUAAGACCAGCAUAUGUGGGGCUAUAGCUCAGCUGGGAGAGCGCCUGCCUUGCACGCAGGAGGUCAGCAGUUCGAUCCUGCUUAGCUCCACCACUUUACUUCUUAAAAAUAAAUAUUCUUUAUCGGGUAGCAACAUCGCCUGAGAAUAGAGUGUGUUUAAUUUUGAGAAGUUUUUGAUUCUCUGCUCUUUAAAAAUUGGGAAAAGCUGAUAAUAAAAUUCGUAUGAAUAACACUGUUAUA